Molecule: ribosomal RNA, 575 nt
Filed under: Bacillus licheniformis
Lineage: Bacteria; Bacillati; Bacillota; Bacilli; Caryophanales; Bacillaceae
Description: bacterial SSU rRNA
Rfam family: Bacterial small subunit ribosomal RNA
Source: RNAcentral
UGCAGUCGAGCGGACAGAUGGGAGCUUGCUCCCUGAUGUUAGCGGCGGACGGGUGAGUAACACGUGGGUAACCUGCCUGUAAGACUGGGAUAACUCCGGGAAACCGGGGCUAAUACCGGAUGCUUGAUUGAACCGCAUGGUUCAAUUAUAAAAGGUGGCUUUUAGCUACCACUUACAGAUGGACCCGCGGCGCAUUAGCUAGUUGGUGAGGUAACGGCUCACCAAGGCAACGAUGCGUAGCCGACCUGAGAGGGUGAUCGGCCACACUGGGACUGAGACACGGCCCAAACUCCUACGGGAGGCAGCAGUAGGGAAUCUUCCGCAAUGGACAAAAGUCUGACGGAGCAACGCCGCGUGAGUGAUGAAGGUUUUCGGAUCGUAAAACUCUGUUGUUAGGGAAGAACAAGUACCGUUCGAAUAGGGCGGUACCUUGACGGUACCUAACCAAAAACCCACGGCUAACUACGUGCCACCAGCCGCGGUAAGACGUAGGUGGCAAGCGUUGUCCGGAAUUAUGGGGCGUAAAGCGCGCGCAGGCGGUUUCUUAACUCUGAUGUGAAAGCCCGCGGCUCAAC